RNAcentral lists this ribosomal RNA (422 nucleotides) under uncultured bacterium. RNAcentral describes it as "bacterial SSU rRNA". It matches the Rfam family "Bacterial small subunit ribosomal RNA", at positions 355 to 774 of the family's 1533-position model. The record is from RNAcentral.
UAAGGAAUAUUGGUCAAUGGACGGAAGUCUGAACCAGCCAUGCCGCGUGGAGGAUGAAGGCCCUCUGGGUUGUAAACUUCUUUUAUUUGGGACGAAACACUCUUUAUCUAAAGAGCUUGACGGUACCAGAUGAAUAAGCACCGGCUAACUCCGUGCCAGCAGCCGCGGUAAUACGGAGGGUGCAAGCGUUAUCCGGAUUCACUGGGUUUAAAGGGUGCGUAGGCGGAUUUGUAAGUCCGUGGUGAAAUCUCUAAGCUUAACUUGGAAAUUGCCGUGGAUACUAUAAGUCUUGAAUAUUGUGGAGGUUAGCGGAAUAUGUCAUGUAGCGGUGAAAUGCAUAGAUAUGACAUAGAACACCAAUUGCGAAGGCAGCUGGCUACACAACUAUUGACGCUGAGGCACGAAAGCGUGGGGAUCAAACA